UGGGGAAUAUUGCACAAUGGACGGAAGUUUGAUGCAGCGACCCCGCGUGGAGGGUGUAGGCCUUCGGGUUGUGAACUCCUUUUUCUCGCGAAAAAGGCACAGUUUUGGCUGUGUUGAUGGUAGUGGGGGAAGAAGCGCCGGCUAACUACGUGCCAGCAGCCGCGGUAAUACGUAGGGCGCGAGCGUUGUCCGGAUUUCUUGGGCGUAAAGUGCUCGUAGGUGGUUCGUCGCGUCUGUCGUGAAAGCCAGCAGCUUAACUGUUGGUCUGCGGUGGGGACGGGCGGGAUUGAGGGCGGGAGGGGUGACUGGAAUUCCUGGUGUAGCGGUGGAAUGCGCAGAUAUCAGGAGGAACACCGAUGGCGAAGGCAGGUCACUGGGCCGUUACUGACACUGAGGGGGGAAAGCGUGGGGAGCGAACAGG
This 421-nucleotide ribosomal RNA is filed under the name Fusobacteriota bacterium. RNAcentral's name for it is "Fusobacteria bacterium partial 16S ribosomal RNA". It matches the Rfam family "Bacterial small subunit ribosomal RNA", at positions 355 to 776 of the family's 1533-position model. The record is from RNAcentral. Lineage: Bacteria; Fusobacteriati; Fusobacteriota.